Long non-coding RNA from Caretta caretta (loggerhead turtle), 2480 nucleotides. RefSeq lists it as uncharacterized. NCBI's taxonomy places the organism in Eukaryota, Metazoa, Chordata, Testudines, Cheloniidae. The record is from RefSeq and is a predicted model, not a curated record.
CUUAUUUUAAUUUCAGUAUCUGCACCCCCCCGUAACUCUCCUCUGAGGCCUUUCCACAGUAACCCCAGCCUCGGAAUUCUCACACACUGCUGCCGGGCUCAGCUUCUGGCCAGCAAGUUGUCCUGCCAACCACCUGGAGGCUGAGCCAGCUGAUAAAUAGUGGGUGAGAGGUCAGUCGCAUGCUACAGGAUUAGAACUAGGAUCGGUAAACGCUAGCCCUGUCCCUGGUGUUAACUUUCCUCUGCCUUGAAGGCUUGCCAUAGUGAUCUGGUGAGUGUAACAGCCACCCUUCGUUUGGAGUAAAUGUAGGACAAAAUUAAACUGCAGGGUGGAACCAGAAAGCUGAAACAAUAGCAGCCUCCUGUCAAAACACAGAUGCAGGUCAUCACCCAAAACAGAAGUACAUGCAAGGCACAUAGGGGAGGAGGGGUGUCACUGGAUAUUGUUUGGUGGAGGUACCUGUGUCUGUGGGAAAGAAAGAAUCAGGAAAAACACCAGAGAAGUAGAAAGACCAGGAGCAGAAAGCCAAGGAAUCAGAACAUCCACUGGGAUCAUGGCCCUGAGAAUAAGGUUAGAGAGCUUUUUGCACUGAGUACUGGCUGAAAGAAGUUUAGAAUUGUGAGCAAAUAAAUUAUUUCCUGUUUGAUUCCUGUGGUGCUCAGGGAAACAGGACUUUGUACACUCUUCAUAAAUAGGAUUGCACCUGGCCAAAGAAAUAUCUGAUUCCAACAUCAGUUUCUACUCCUAAUCAAAACAACCCACUGGGCUCCAAAAAUUGGCUAACCACUUGGGUCAAAAGGGGAAAACAGAGGAAUAUACGUCAAUAUUUUUUACUCUUUGUGUAAAUAGCCACUAUCCUCACUUGGCCAUUGAGCUAAUCAUUAUUAGUGGGCUAAUUUCUUGUGGACAUCACAGUAUAAGUGGGUCUUGGAAUGGAUUUGAAGGAAGAUUACCACACUUUUCAUAUCAUAAUCAUCUCAUUCUUACCUUCCCACAACUUUUGUUGUAGCCACCUGUUCUCUCUCAUCUUAUAUUUAUGGCUUGUCUACACUACCAAACUUUGUCAACAAAAACUGCCUUUCGUCAACCAAACAGUGAAUGCGUACACACUGCAAUGUGACUUUUGUUGGGGAAAAUGUCCGGUUUUGGUGACAAAAUACAACCACCCCAACGAGAGACAUACGUCUUUUUCCUCUAAAUUUUUCUCAACAAUGUGCCAGUGUAGACACCAUGCUUGAGUUCAUCACUUUAAUUGGCCUCCAGUACGUGUUCCACAAGGCCCAUGCUGACCGCUCUAGUCAGCAGUUUGAACUCCACUGUCCUGCAGCCAGGUAAACAACCAUCCACCCCUCCCCCUUAGAAGUCCUGGAAAUUUUUGAAAUUCCAUUUCCUUCUGGCUCUGCAUGGAGAGGUCUUAUCGCAUCUUCCCAGGUAACCAUGGCGGGUUAUCACACCAAGUGCUCUCCCACUUGGACCAUUGUUGAGCUGUUGGAUCUGAUCAGUAUAUGGGGAGAAGAGGCUGUGUAGUCACAGCUGCAUUUGAGCCAAAAGAAUAGGGAUACCUAUGGGCACAUUUCUCAAAGCUUGUGUGAAAAGGGCUAUGAUCGGGACACGCUGCAGUGCAGAGCGAAGAUAAAGGAGCUGAGAUAGGCGUACCAUAAGGCGAGGGAAGCAAACCGUCAAUCCGAUGCUUCACCUAAAACCUGCCAGUUCUAUAAGGAGCUGGACACUAUCCUCAGUGGCGACCCCACCUCCACUGCCAAGAGCCCAGUGGAUACUUCAGCGGACCAGGAGGUAGUGGAAAGAGGACCUAAUCCGGAGGACAAAGUUAUUGAGGAAGAGGUGGCAUUAGAUGACAAUGUGCAGCUCCCUGUGGGGUCACCCGGUGCGGCAGGCAGCCAGGAGCUGUUCUCCACUCCAGAGGUGUCUAGCCAGUCUCAGCAGUUGUCUCAGAUGUGGCCUUCAGGAACACCCCAGGCACCCCAGCUGAGCAUCUGAGCCAGAUAAGAAAGUACCCACAAUGCAGCAAAGAAGACAUGUUCUGGGAGGUACUGCAGUGCUCCAAUGCAGAAAAAAGGGAACGCAAGGAGUGCUGGGUAGCCAAAUGGCAGGACAUAAAAGAGAAUCAGGAGUUUAAGGAUGCAACUGAGCGGAUGAUUAAAGUAAUGGAGGAGCAAACACAGAUGCUAAAGUCCUUAAGAAUGCUGCAGACUGAGCAGAUCCGUGCUCGCCCUCCCCUGCAGCACAUUCAGAACUCUUUCCCAUGCCCCCCCCCAAUUCUGUCCGCACAUUCCUUUUGCACCGGGACUUCUCGGUUUCCCAUUCACUCUACCCCCUCAGACAACUUACACAAUGAUAGAUGGAUCUACACAUAUCUGUGAAUGUCUGUCCUUCCUUGGUUCCUCCUUUCCCACCAACUGUCUUUGUCUGUUUGUGUGUGCUAUUUACUGUGCAAUAAAAGCAAAGUUUUCAAAUGGUAA